GAUGAACGCUGGCGGCGUGCCUAAUACAUGCAAGUCGAGCGAACAGAUAAGGAGCUUGCUCCUUUGACGUUAGCGACGGACGGGUGAGUAACACGUGGGUAACCUACCUAUAAGACUGGAAUAACUCCGGGAAACCGGGGCUAAUGCCGGAUAACAUUUAGAACCGCAUGGUUCUAAAGUGAAAGAUGGUUUUGCUAUCACUUAUAGAUGGACCCGCGCCGUAUUAGCUAGUUGGUAAGGUAACGGCUUACCAAGGCAACGAUACGUAGCCGACCUGAGAGGGUGAUCGGCCACACUGGAACUGAGACACGGUCCAGACUCCUACGGGAGGCAGCAGUAGGGAAUCUUCCGCAAUGGGCGAAAGCCUGACGGAGCAACGCCGCGUGAGUGAUGAAGGUCUUCGGAUCGUAAAACUCUGUUAUUAGGGAAGAACAAAUGUGUAAGUAACUGUGCACGUCUUGACGGUACCUAAUCAGAAAGCCACGGCUAACUACGUG
This 497-nucleotide ribosomal RNA is filed under the name uncultured bacterium. RNAcentral's name for it is "partial 16S ribosomal RNA". It matches the Rfam family "Bacterial small subunit ribosomal RNA", at positions 28 to 507 of the family's 1533-position model. The record is from RNAcentral.